CAGUAACGCGUAGUCAAUCUACCCUAUGGACGGGAAUAACCUCGGGAAACUGAGAAUAAUGCCCGAUAGAACAUUAUGCCUGGAAUGGUUUAUGUUUCAAAUGAUUUAUCGCCAUAGGAUGGGACUGCGGCCUAUCAGUUUGUUGGUGAGGUAAUGGCCCACCAAGACUAUUACAGGUACGGGCUCUGAGAGGAGUAGCCCGGAGAUGGGUACUGAGACACGGACCCAGGCCCUAUGGGGCGCAGCAGGCGAGAAAACUUUGCAAUGUGCGAAAGCACGACAAGGUUAAUCCGAGUGGUUUCUGCUAAAGAAACCUUUUGUCAGUCCUAGAAACACUAACGAAUAAGGGGUGGGCAAGUUCUGGUGUCAGCCGCCGCGGUAAAACCAGCACCUCAAGUGGUCAGGAUGAUUAUUGGGCCUAAAGCAUCCGUAGCUCGUUUUGUAAGUUUUCGGUUAAAUCCAUGCGCUUAACGUAUGGGCUGCCGGGAAUACUGCAUAACUAGGAAGUGGGAGAGGUAGACGGUACUCGGGAGGAAGGGGUAAAAUCCUUUGAUCUCUUGAUGACCACCUGUGGCGAAGGCGGUCUACCAGAACACGUUCGACGGUGAGGGAUGAAAGCUGGGGGAGCAAACCGGAUUAGAUACCCGGGUAGUCCCAGCUGUAAACUAUGCAAACUCAGUGAUGCAUUGGCUUAUGGCCAAUGCAGUGCUGCAGGGAAGCCGUUAAGUUUGCCGCCUGGGAAGUACGUACGCAAGUAUGAAACUUAAAGGAAUUGGCGGGGGAGCACCACAAGGGGUGAAGCCUGCGGUUCAAUUGGAGUCAACGCCGGAAAGGGCGAAUUC
Molecule: ribosomal RNA, 842 nt
Filed under: uncultured archaeon
Lineage: Archaea
Description: bacterial SSU rRNA
Rfam family: Archaeal small subunit ribosomal RNA
Source: RNAcentral